CUUGUUGUUUCUGUUAAGUAAAGGAAUACAGAUCUUUUAUUUUCUAAUUUUAGUUUAUUUUGCAAAAGGAAAAAUUAAAAUGUGGGAUAUUGCCCCUUCAAGUUACUUUCCUGUUGGUUUCUGCAAUUCCCCUGCACUACAUGAAGUCACAGCUAUUUGAAACUGCAGAGAAUGCUGUCCUAGCAGGUUGAAGUGGUAUUAUCAGUUGUGUAGUAAGCCUCAGUCAAACAAGUGAGUCCCACCUGGUUUUCUUUUUCAUAAGGCAGUAUGAUUCCCUUUCCAGGUGUCUGUAUAUUUACUGACUCAGCUAAAACCCAGUAUCAGUCAGCCAUUAAUUUUACUCAAACAGCUAAACAAUAAACCAAAUGAGAUGAAAUUUUGUGUCAGUGUCCUCCUGAGCGAGCUAUUUUUUUAUUCCAAUAAACUUUCAUUUCCAGUCUUCCAUAUCCACUGAUCAUGUUAUCAGGACCUAUUUGUUUCUGCUGACAGGGUCAGAAGCACAGCUGCCCAAUCUCAGCCUAAUAAACCUGGGACAGAAGGAACACAGCUGUAUUUCCUUAACCACUCCCAGUUGCCUGCACCUUUUCUGUACAUCUAAGUUAUUCUUAGUUUAAAAAAUAGGUGGAUGGGUGCUCAAUUGAUGUGAGUAUCAUUUGGAGCUUUGAAAGGGCUGAACUCUGUUCUCAUAUAACAGAAUCUUGAACUCCGAUGAUCUUGGAUCUAACCCAGAGACUGAUAAAUUGGGUCAAAAGCAGAGCUGUUUUAUCUAACUCUCCUCACAACUGUUUGGGAAUUUGAUUAUAGUGAGAGAUGGAUAUGGACAACUCAAAGUAAAAAAGCAUCACGACUACAGGAAAAUAAGCCAGAAGAAAGUGGUAAAGCAAUGUAUUGAAUUAGUUCACCAAGAUAGCUCGGUAGUAUGGGAAGAUAACUUUCUAAUUUUGCUUUAAGUGCAGAAUCACCUUGGAAGAAAUUAUUUCUACUUGGGUUUCCAAAACAUAUGCCAAGUAACAAUAAAUAAAUUCAGCUGAGGAAAGCAUAAACCAG
Long non-coding RNA from Dermochelys coriacea (leatherback sea turtle), 1047 nucleotides. RefSeq lists it as uncharacterized. NCBI's taxonomy places the organism in Eukaryota, Metazoa, Chordata, Testudines, Dermochelyidae. The transcript has 4 exons. The record is from RefSeq and is a predicted model, not a curated record.